UGCAAGUCGAGCGAGGCGUGUAGCAAUACACAGUCGAGCGGCGAACGGGUGAGUAACGCGUGGAUUAUCUGCCCUGAGGUGGGGGAUAACCCGGGGAAACUCGGGCUAAUACCGCAUAUGACCGUGAGGUCAAAGGGGGGUCGCAAGAUCUCUCGCCAUAGGAGGAGUCCGCGUUCGAUUAGCUAGUUGGUAGGGUAAUGGCCUACCAAGGCGACGAUCGAUAGCCGGCCUGAGAGGGUGAUCGGCCACACUGGAACUGAGACACGGUCCAGACUCCUACGGGAGGCAGCAGUGGGGAAUUUUGCGCAAUGGGCUAACGCCUGACGCAGCAACGCCGCGUGGAGGAUGAAGGUCCUUGGAUUGUAAACUCCUGUCAGCAGGGAAAAAGCGACUUGGCCUCAUACGCCAGGGAGUUGAUUGUACCUGCAGAGGAAGCCCCGGCUAACUCUGUGCCAGCAGCCGCGGUAAUACAGAGGGGGCAAGCGUUAUUCGGAAUUAUUGGGCGUAAAGGGCGCGUAGGCGGCUUG
RNAcentral lists this ribosomal RNA (527 nucleotides) under uncultured bacterium. RNAcentral describes it as "bacterial SSU rRNA". It matches the Rfam family "Bacterial small subunit ribosomal RNA", at positions 56 to 582 of the family's 1533-position model. The record is from RNAcentral.